CAAAUAAACAGCAAAAAGUGCAGUCUCAGUAGAAUAUUUAAAUUCAAGAGAAAUUUGAGAUUCUUCCUAAAAUUAGAUUUAAAAUUUGGCAUGAUUGUAAUGCUACUAAAAAAAUAUAUCAUCACCAAAUUGCUUAUGAAAAUGGUUAUAAAUUAACCAUUGAGAAAAUGAUUGUAUAAAAUUAAUCAAAGUAAAAGUGAAUCAAACUGAAAAAUAUUGUUUAAUUCCCAGAAUAACUCUUAUGCAAAGUAAUUAUGAUUUUCAAUUUGAAUGAUAAAAUAGUUCCCAAUGAAACCAAUAUUGAAAUGAAAAUAAAUAAGGUUCAACCAGGGCUGCCGAGAGGGGGUGACAUCCGUGACUUUUGUCACUGGCCCGGCAUCGAAAGGGCCCGACCGUCGAGCUCUGAGGUAUCACUUAACAUGUUCGAUAAUCAUAAAGUGAGAAAGUGGAUGACGCAAU
This 459-nucleotide long non-coding RNA is filed under the name Androctonus crassicauda. The record is from RNAcentral. Lineage: Eukaryota; Metazoa; Arthropoda; Arachnida; Scorpiones; Buthidae.